This is a long non-coding RNA of Manacus vitellinus (golden-collared manakin), 1185 nucleotides long. RefSeq lists it as uncharacterized. Lineage: Eukaryota; Metazoa; Chordata; Aves; Passeriformes; Pipridae. The record is from RefSeq and is a predicted model, not a curated record. The transcript has 2 exons.
AAGCAACCAGAAAAAAGUCUGGUAACCCAACCUGGUCUGCAGCUGCUUCCCUCAGCCCUUCAGCAUCCUUUACUGGGUGCCCUUGUACUGCCAGACCGUGAGAGUGAGUCAUUAAAGGAUGCACCCAGCAACUCUUUGACCUCACCCAGCACUAGAACCUGCUUCCAAAGGAGGAUUCCAAAGGGAUCCACUAUUGGCUGCCUGGAGGGACCCAUAUCUACCAUGUAGUCACCAGGAGGCUGAUGGGCAGGGGCAGGAGGGUCCCCUCCCAUUCCCAUGGCUCAAGGAAGGCCUGAUCCAGAGUAGAGCUACGGAAUUUUUUGAAAGAAGGCUUCACAGGACACCUGUGAGCAUCCAGAGAGUCCUAGAGUAAAACCAGCUCUCCUAAAGUAUCCCUGGAACACACUGGCCAGUGAGUCAAUCUUAUUUCUGGCAUUUGCUCUUGCUCAGUGAGUCGCUGCUUUCAAGGAAUAGAGGUGUAGGAAAAUAAAGCUUGGGCCACACCAUGGCUCACUGUUCCCGAAGUUAGAUGCUCUUCAUCAUCACUGUGUGGCUUUCACAGAUGGCAAACCCUCCCGCAGUGGCAUGAGCCACAGCACGCUAACUCUGCCACUGGCAUGCCUAACUGGAUGACAGGGGCAUGGAGGCUACCAGGCUACCAGAUCUGUCUCCCUAAGGAAAUAUCUAUCAUCUGGAUCAUUUUUUAGAUAAGAGGAACAUGUAUGCUUCUGAGGUUUGAAAGCACAGGCUGCCACAGCCAAACGCGGGCUCCUUGCCUCUUCCCAUCAGAUGGACAACUGGGAUGGCCUGAGAAUGUGACACGGGCAGGAUCCUAAAAGAUGUGCCAAAUGAGGGUUUGCUGCCCAGAGUCUACUCUGAAAGAGUGUUUCUGUCUUUAUCCUUGUGUGGGAAAUGCAGACAUUGGCAAUGCAAUGACCACAUCAAUAAUUCUCCUGAUGACCUGUGCAAACCCAAGAGGGUCACGACAUCACGCAUUGCCUUUCUGUAAACCAGUGCUUCUGGGUUUUGCCCAGCACAGGGCCCUUUACCCACAGAUUCAUUUUCACUACUAAAGCUGAUUUCCAGUGUUAGCUUUUACAUGUAGUAUCUGUGUGUGCUGACUGUGAACGUUCACAGGUUGAAAUCAAGACAUUGCUGGAAUAAAGUCCUACCACCCUCCAUGCA